Molecule: ribosomal RNA, 499 nt
Filed under: uncultured bacterium
Lineage: Bacteria
Description: partial 16S ribosomal RNA
Rfam family: Bacterial small subunit ribosomal RNA
Source: RNAcentral
AUUGAACGCUGGCGGAAUGCUUACACAUGCAAGUCGAACGGCAGCACGGACUUCGGUCUGGUGGCGAGUGGCGAACGGGUGAGUAAUGUAUCGGAACGUGCCCAGUCGUGGGGGAUAACGUAGUGAAAAUUACGUUAAUACCGCAUACGAUCUAUGGAUGAAAGCGGGGGAUCGUAAGACCACGCGCGAUUGGAGCGGCCGAUAUUAGAUGAGGUAGGUGGUGGGGUAAAGGCCCACCAAGGCAACGAUCUGGAGCUGGUCUGAGAGGACGAUCAGCCACACUGGAACUGAGACACGGUCCAGACUCCUACGGGAGGCAGCAGUGGGGAAUUUUGGACAAUGGGCGAAAGCCUGAUCCAGCCAUUCCGCGUGCAGGAUGAAGGCCCUCGGGUUGUAAACUGCUUUUGUACAGAACGAAAAGGUUUCUACUAAUACUAGGAGCUCAUGACGGUACUGUAAGAAUAAGCACCGGCUAACUACGUGCCAGCCGCCGCAGUAA